Molecule: non-coding RNA, 25 nt
Filed under: Rattus norvegicus (Norway rat)
Lineage: Eukaryota; Metazoa; Chordata; Mammalia; Rodentia; Muridae
Source: RNAcentral
AUGACAUAAAGGAUGCCUAGGUUCC